GCUCCGAACUGCGCUCCGUGAUUGGAGGACACUGGCCGGCAAUUACUCUCUUCUACCAAUCACGUUCCUCAUCCCGCCCACACAGGUUGGAGGCGGCCCUUACGCCUGACCGCAUCUUUCAGCCUUACUAUUGGCCGUCGGCAAACACGGCUUCAGUUGAUUGGAGAGAGUGGGUGUCCGUCAGGGUCACGCUCCGAGGCAAGGAGAGGCGAAACGAGGGGUAAGACGACUUCCCUCCGGCGGGUAGACGGGCCUGCUGGGAUACUCCAGGAUGACUGGGAAAGGCACGGGGCGGGGUCUCGCCGUCCGCGGAACGCCGGAAACGGAGUCCUUCCAGACGACUUCCGGUUCCGGUGUAGGCGGUGGUUGAGUUGCCAUGGCAGCGCGGCUGGCAGCAGCCUGGUUGUUGCAUCAGGGCGGUGGCCGGCCUGGAGCAGGCCUGGGCCUGGCUUUCCCAGCUUAGGUGAGCGACCCGGGUGCCUCCGUAAGGCCGCGGCCGAAUGCGGCCGCUCGUGGCUGGAGCGGGGGCCGGGCCGGGCCGGGCACUGGCGGCCAGGCCUGCCCGGGGCUCCGGCGUCCGGGCCGGGACCACUAGUCCCGCCCGGCCACGUGGGAACACAGGCCCGAUCGGUCCCCGUGGCUCCCGCCUCUGGCGCGCGACGAUUUCUCUAACGCUUUCAUUUUAAAAGUUUGUCAAACGCUCUCGUCUGUGUGAUCCGCGCUGGGUUUGGGGCUUCGCUGACUUUCCAGCUCACCUAAGCCCUUAGGCCUAGGCCCAGGGAAGAUUUGUUGAGAGGAGGACUAAGAAGGGAGUUGGUUUAUGGGACAGAUGUUCCUUGAGCAGCUGCUGCGUGCUGGGCAUGGCGCCAGCGCGGGAUCUUCAGGGCGACCUGGGGCCCGAAGCUUGGAGUCAGCGUGAGAAAGGAGAAGCAGGUUCCUUGAUUCCAGAUAAAUCAGAGGAACAAGCUUCAUGAACAAAAAUAUAUUGGGAAUGCUGUGGCACUGCAGCGUGACUGUUGUUUCGGAAGUCUAACAUCUGGCACGCUUAACAGCUGAGAAUAUAUUAUUUCCGAAAGCACCUAGCUUUUACUCAUGCUUAUAGUAUACAUGGCUUGCCAAGCAGUGCCAUCUCCGCACCUGGGAUCCGAACUGACGAACCCCGGGCCACUGAAGCGGAAUGUGCGCACUUAACUGCUGUGCCACCGGGCCGGCCCCCUAGUAAGUUCUUUUUUUUUUUUUUUAAUAAAUAUUGGUGAUUCGUUCCCAAAAACCUAAUUGUUUAUUGCCUCCUUUAAACUGUCUAAUUCUGCUUUCGUGUUGACUGGAAGAGGGAGAGGAAUUCGCAGACUUGUGUUGUGAGGAUCCGGAGCGGUCCUGAGGAGUUGCAGAGCUCCUCCCUAGUGUGUAGUCCUGGCUUCGGAGGUAUAGUUGUCAACUGUUAUUGUUAAUAAGUUGAGAGUACAGCUGUCAUCAGAGAUUAAGGGUAAUCCUCAAGCAGGAAGAGUACAAAGCGUGUGUUUUUCAAAAUUCUGGGAGAGUGCUGCCUACCACGGAGCGUGGCGAGAACAUGCAUGAAGUGUCAGGAUGUGGGAAAGCAUGUCGGCGCUCUUCCAGGGACCUCAGUGAUGGUUCGAGCAAAGGCAGGAAGACCAAUCAUGUAUCUGAACCGAAGAAACUGAAACAGUACAUCAAAAUUUAGGUGUUUAAUAAAAAUAUAAAACGUGAUCUCUGUUGAACAUAUUCCUUUGUCUUUGAUUUAGAACUAUUCUUGCAGUAUUGCGUCAGACAUCGGUGAUUUGAAGCAGCAAAGAAAAUAGUAUUUGAAAUAUUUCUUCCAAACCACAUGAUUCGGGCAUUUUAUAUGAUUUGGCCUUUUAGUUUUGAGGUUUCUCUUUAGAAAUUCUGUAAUGAAAACAUGACAAAAAUAUACUUCUUAAAUAAACAGUUGUCAAAAACUAUACUUAUGCUCAAAUGUAUUUGGGUGUUUAGAACACGUACGUAGAUAAUCUAUGUCAGUGUGUGAUCUCUCCCUUGUGGACAUUACUGAGGGGGUGCGGGUGGGAAGUACACAGAAGCUUAUGAGAAGCCUGGGAUUUUGGUCACAAAAUGUAAUUAGACCCCAAACUAAAUAAUCAGGCCAUGUAAACAUGCUGACUCGGGCAUCCUAAAAAUGUUUUUCUUUCCUGUGCUUAUUGACAGAUAAAGCUUUAUUGAUGUGAUAAAAUUUCUCUUCCACCCACUCCUCCAAAAGCAAAUUCACGCUUGAAUCCAUAGUUACGAACCUCACACAUUGGAGAUCGUUUCUUCCUAUGUCUCAGCCCUAAACGAAGGGGCGGGGUCGCUGAAGCUAAGAGGGCGCUUUCCUUCCGGACUUCAGUCUCCAAGUCUGUGCUGCGUUCUGACAAAAGCACAUACUUUCUAUAGCGCAAACUGUUAUUACACUCCAGCAACUUCUGAGAAGGUGCCCAGACCACAGAAGAUGAAAAGCUGGGAGCCAGUGCUGUUGUGUGUCAGACCUGUUAUGAAGAUUUAUCUGUUACCAGAAGUUUCUGUCCCCCUCUGAUAAUCACUGAGUUCGCGGCCAGAUGAACAUUUAGACCGUUUUAUUGUUUUCUUUUCAAUGAUUGCUAAGAUGUAUUGCCAAGGCCGUAAAUACUCUUUAUGAUGAGUCAGGAUUUCACUUCGUACUUCAAACUUUGAGCCUUAAUGACUUCAUGCCUUCAAAAUUAAAUCUUGCUGUCAUGGGAACCCGUCGCUCCAGGCUUCUUCAACAAUUCAUCUAGCCAAGGAAGAAAAAUUCACCCCAGUUUCACAGAGGUGGUGAGGGGGCAGGUUGGAAAUGGGAUAAAACAUUAACUGUUCAUCUUGUUUUGCGGGAAAAGAUCGGAGGAUUUUAAAUAUAUUUUUUCUGCAUUCAUGUCCAGAAAAAAAUCCCAUUUGUUAAUUCUAAACUUUACGCUUUCUGUAAGUGUAACCUACUAAUUAAUUGAUAUCAAAUUUAUGUGAGCCAGAGUUUCAGUUAAAGACUAUAUUAUAAAUCAAUUAUAUUCUGGGGGAAAAAAAAGGAAGAGGGCAGCUUUUUUCAUAAAGCCCA
This is a long non-coding RNA of Equus quagga, 3094 nucleotides long. RefSeq lists it as uncharacterized. The record is from RefSeq and is a predicted model, not a curated record. The transcript is spliced from 4 exons. NCBI's taxonomy places the organism in Eukaryota, Metazoa, Chordata, Mammalia, Perissodactyla, Equidae.